This 495-nucleotide ribosomal RNA is filed under the name uncultured bacterium. RNAcentral describes it as "partial 16S ribosomal RNA". It matches the Rfam family "Bacterial small subunit ribosomal RNA", at positions 28 to 507 of the family's 1533-position model. The record is from RNAcentral.
GACGAACGCUGGCGGCGUGCCUAAUACAUGCAAGUAGAACGCUGAAGGAGGAGCUUGCUUCUCUGGAUGAGUUGCGAACGGGUGAGUAACGCGUAGGUAACCUGCCUGGUAGCGGGGGAUAACUAUUGGAAACGAUAGCUAAUACCGCAUAAGAGUAGAUGUUGCAUGACAUUUGCUUAAAAGGUGCAAUUGCAUCACUACCAGAUGGACCUGCGUUGUAUUAGCUAGUUGGUGAGGUAACGGCUCACCAAGGCAACGAUACAUAGCCGACCUGAGAGGGUGAUCGGCCACACUGGGACUGAGACACGGCCCAGACCACUACGGGAGGCAGCAGUAGGGAAUCUUCGGCAAUGGACGGAAGUCUGACCGAGCAACGCCGCGUGAGUGAAGAAGGUUUUCGGAUCGUAAAGCUCUGUUGUAAGAGAAGAACGAGUGUGAGAGUGGAAAGUUCACACUGUGACGGUAUCUUACCAGAAAGGGACGGCUAACUACGUG